RNAcentral lists this signal recognition particle RNA (98 nucleotides) under Wenzhouxiangella sp. Its description in RNAcentral is "signal recognition particle sRNA small type". It matches the Rfam family "Bacterial small signal recognition particle RNA". From Rfam's summary of the family: The signal recognition particle (SRP) is a universally conserved ribonucleoprotein involved in the co-translational targeting of proteins to membranes. Archaeal SRP consists of a 7S RNA and homologues of the eukaryotic SRP19 and SRP54 proteins. In most bacteria, the SRP consists of a 4.5S RNA and the Ffh protein (a homologue of the eukaryotic SRP54 protein). Lineage: Bacteria; Pseudomonadati; Pseudomonadota; Gammaproteobacteria; Chromatiales; Wenzhouxiangellaceae. RNAcentral also lists the same sequence under 1 other name. The record is from RNAcentral.
UGCCGGUCUUCCCACGCUGUUUCUGCCGUGAACCCCGUCAGGCCCGGAAGGGAGCAGCGGCAGCGGCAGGCGCAGGCGCUGGGGUCGGGCUGGUGAAG